RNAcentral lists this ribosomal RNA (498 nucleotides) under uncultured bacterium. Its description in RNAcentral is "partial 16S ribosomal RNA". It matches the Rfam family "Bacterial small subunit ribosomal RNA", at positions 28 to 507 of the family's 1533-position model. The record is from RNAcentral.
GAUGAACGCUGGCGGCGUGCCUAAUACAUGCAAGUCGAGCGAACUUUUGGGAGCUUGCUCCCAAAAGUUAGCGGCGGACGGGUGAGUAACACGUGGGUAACCUGCCUGUAAGACUGGGAUAACUUCGGGAAACCGGAGCUAAUACCGGAUAACAUUGAAGCCCACAUGGCCUUCAAUUAAAAGGUGGCUUUUAGCUACCACUUACAGAUGGACCCGCGGCGCAUUAGCUAGUUGGUGAGGUAACGGCUCACCAAGGCGACGAUGCGUAGCCGACCUGAGAGGGUGAUCGGCCACACUGGGACUGAGACACGGCCCAGACUCCUAAGGGAGGGAGCAGUAGGGAAACUUCCGCAAUGGACGGAAGGCUGACGGAGCAACCCCGCGUGAGCGGAGAAGGCCUUCGGGUCGGAAAGCUCUGUUGUGAGGGAAGGACAAGUAUCGUUCGAAUAGGGCGGUACCUUGACGGUACCUAAAGAGAAAGCCACGGCUAACUACGUG